UACGUAGGGGGCAAGCGUUAUCCGGAUUUACUGGGUGUAAAGGGAGCGCAGACGGCAGCGUAAGUCUGAAGUGAAAGCCCGCGGCUUAACCGCGGGACUGCUUUGGAAACUACGCGGCUUGAGUGUCGGAGGGGCAGGCGGAAUUCCUGGUGUAGCGGUGAAAUGCGUAGAUAUCAGGAAGAACACCGGUGGCGAAGGCGGCCUGCUGGACGACAACUGACGUUGAGGCUCGAAGGCGUGGGGAGCGAACAGG
RNAcentral lists this ribosomal RNA (253 nucleotides) under uncultured bacterium. RNAcentral's name for it is "partial 16S ribosomal RNA". It matches the Rfam family "Bacterial small subunit ribosomal RNA", at positions 524 to 776 of the family's 1533-position model. The record is from RNAcentral.